CCGUUCAAUACUGCGGGACUUGAGGGCAGAAGAGGGGGGUGGAAUUGCUGGUGUAGUGGUGAAAUGCGUAGAUAUCAGCAGGAACACCUGUGGCGAAAGCGGCCCCCUGGUCUGCUCCUGACACUCAGACGCGAAAGCUAGGGGAGUGAACGGGAUUAGAAACCCCGGUAAUCCUAGCCGUAAACGAUGGAUGCUAGGUGUGGGUGGUAUUGACCCCAUCCGUGCCGAAGCCAACGCGUUAAGCAUCCCGCCUGGGGACUACGGCCGCAAGGUUAAAACUCAAAGGAAUUGACGGGGACCCGCACAAGCAGCGGAGCGUGUGGUUUAAUUCGAUGCUACACGAAGAACCUUACCCAGGUUUGACAUACAGGUAGUAGUGAAGCGAAAGCGGAACGAUCCUUCGGGAAGCCUGAACAGGUGCUGCAUGGCUGUCGUCAGCUCGUGCCGUGAGGUGUUUGGUUAAGUCCACUAACGAGCGCAACCCCUGUCGUCAGUUACAUGUGUCUGGCGAGACUGCCGGUCUUAAACCGGAGGAAGGUGGGGAUGACGUCAAGUCAGCAUGGCCUUUAUAUCUGGG
Molecule: ribosomal RNA, 577 nt
Filed under: uncultured bacterium
Lineage: Bacteria
Description: bacterial SSU rRNA
Rfam family: Bacterial small subunit ribosomal RNA
Source: RNAcentral